GAAUUACUGGGCGUAAAGCGCGCGUAGGUGGCUUGAUAAGCCGGUUGUGAAAGCCCCGGGCUCAACCUGGGAACGGCAUCCGGAACUGUCAAGCUAGAGUGCAGGAGAGGAAGGUAGAAUUCCCGGUGUAGCGGUGAAAUGCGUAGAGAUCGGGAGGAAUACCAGUGGCGAAGGCGGCCUUCUGGACUGACACUGACACUGAGGUGCGAAAGCGUGGGUAGCAAACAGGAUUAGAUACCCUGGUAGUCCACGCCGUAAACGAUGUCGACCAGCCGUUGGGUGCCUAGCGCACUUUGUGGCGAAGUUAACGCGAUAAGUCGACCGCCUGGGGAGUACGGCCGCAAGGUUAAAACUCAAAUGAAUUGACGGGGGCCCGCACAAGCGGUGGAGCAUGUGGUUUAAUUCGAUGCAACGCGAAGAACCUUACCUACUCUUGACAUCCUGCGAAUUYGGUAGAGAUACCUUAGUGCCUUCGGGAACGCAGAGACAGGUGCUGCAUGGCUGUCGUCAGCUCGUGUUGUGAAAUGUUGGGUUAAGUCCCGUAACGAGCGCAACCCUUGUCCUUAUUUGCCAGCGCGUAAUGGCGGGAACUCUAAGGAGACUGCCGGUGACAAACCGGAGGAAGGUGGGGACGACGUCAAGUCAUCAUGGCCCUUACGAGUAGGGCUACACACGUGCUACAAUGGUCGGUACAAAGGGUUGCCAACUCGCGAGAGUGAGCCAAUCCCGAAAAGCCGAUCUCAGUCCGGAUCGGAGUCUGCAACUCGACUCCGUGAAGUCGGAAUCGCUAGUAAUCGUAGAUCAGAAUGCUACGGUGAAUACGUUCCCGGGCCUUGUACACACCGCCCGUCACACCAUGGGAGUGGACUGCACCAGAAGUGGUUAGCCUAACGCAAGAGGGCGAUCACCA
This 910-nucleotide ribosomal RNA is filed under the name Vreelandella aquamarina. Its description in RNAcentral is "bacterial SSU rRNA". It matches the Rfam family "Bacterial small subunit ribosomal RNA", at positions 548 to 1459 of the family's 1533-position model. The record is from RNAcentral. Lineage: Bacteria; Pseudomonadati; Pseudomonadota; Gammaproteobacteria; Oceanospirillales; Halomonadaceae.